This 305-nucleotide ribosomal RNA is filed under the name uncultured bacterium. Its description in RNAcentral is "bacterial SSU rRNA". It matches the Rfam family "Bacterial small subunit ribosomal RNA", at positions 333 to 637 of the family's 1533-position model. The record is from RNAcentral.
CGACCUACGGGAGGCAGCAGUGAGGAAUAUUGGUCAAUGGGCGGGAGCCUGAACCAGCCAAGUCGCGUGAGGGAUGACGGCCCUAUGGGUUGUAAACCUCUUUUGUCAGGGAGCAACGCCGGCUACGUGUAGCCGGACUGAGAGUACCUGAAGAAAAAGCAUCGGCUAACUCCGUGCCAGCAGCCGCGGUAAUACGGAGGAUGCGAGCGUUAUCCGGAUUUAUUGGGUUUAAAGGGUGCGUAGGCGGAAUGCCAAGUCAGCGGUAAAAUCGCGGGGCUCAACCUCGCUCCGCCGUUGAAACUGGC